This 426-nucleotide ribosomal RNA is filed under the name uncultured bacterium. Its description in RNAcentral is "partial 16S ribosomal RNA". It matches the Rfam family "Bacterial small subunit ribosomal RNA", at positions 354 to 796 of the family's 1533-position model. The record is from RNAcentral.
GUGAGGAAUUUUCCGCAAUGGGCGAAAGCCUGACGGAGCAAUGCCGCGUGAAGGAUGAAGGCCUAUGGGUUGUAAACUUCUUUUCUCAGAAAAGAAUUAUGACGGUAUCUGAGGAAUAAGCAUCGGCUAACUCUGUGCCAGCAGCCGCGGUAAGACAGAGGAUGCAAGCGUUAUCCGGAAUGAUUGGGCGUAAAGCGUCUGUAGGUUGUUUAAAAAGUAUUCUGUCAAAGAUUAGGGCUUAACCCUAGAUAGGCAGAAUAAACUUUUAAGCUAGAGUUUGGUAGAGGCAGAGGGAAUUCCCGGUGGAGCGGUGAAAUGCGUAGAUAUCGGGAGGAACACCAAAGGCGAAGGCACUCUGCUGGGCCAAUACUAACACUGAGAGACGAAAGCGAGGGGAGCAAAUGGGAUUAGAAACCCAAGUAGUCC